RNAcentral lists this ribosomal RNA (497 nucleotides) under uncultured bacterium. Its description in RNAcentral is "partial 16S ribosomal RNA". It matches the Rfam family "Bacterial small subunit ribosomal RNA", at positions 28 to 507 of the family's 1533-position model. The record is from RNAcentral.
GAUGAACGCUGGCGGCGUGCCUAAUACAUGCAAGUCGAGCGAACAGACGAGGAGCUUGCUCCUCUGACGUUAGCGGCGGACGUGUGAGUAACACGUGGAUAACCUACCUAUAAGACUGGGAUAACUUCGGGAAACCGGAGCUAAUACCGGAUAAUAUAUUGAACCGCAUGGUUCAAUAGUGAAAGACGGUUUUGCUGUCACUUAUAGAUUGAUCCGCGCCGCAUUAGCUAGUUGGUAAGGUAACGGCUUACCAAGGCAACGAUGCGUAGCCGACCUGAGAGGGUGAUAGGACAAACGGGAAGUGAGAAACGGUACAGAAUACUAAGGGAGGAAGCAGUAGGGAAUAUUCGGCAAUGGGCGAAAGCAUGAAGGAGCAAAGCAGCGUGAGUGAUGAAGGUCUUCGGAUCGUAAAACUCUGUUAUUAGGGAAGAAAAAAUGUGUAAGUAACUAUGCACGUCUUGACGGUACCUAAUCAGAAAGCCACGGCUAACUACGUG